This 2923-nucleotide ribosomal RNA is filed under the name Klebsiella pneumoniae subsp. pneumoniae. RNAcentral's name for it is "bacterial LSU rRNA". It matches the Rfam family "Bacterial large subunit ribosomal RNA". Lineage: Bacteria; Pseudomonadati; Pseudomonadota; Gammaproteobacteria; Enterobacterales; Enterobacteriaceae. The record is from RNAcentral.
GGGUUGUGAGGUUAAGCGACUAAGCGUACACGGUGGAUGCCCUGGCAGUCAGAGGCGAUGAAGGACGUGCUAAUCUGCGAAAAGCGUCGGUAAGGUGAUAUGAACCGUUAUAACCGGCGAUGUCCGAAUGGGGAAACCCAGUGUGAUUCGUCACACUAUCGUUAACUGAAUACAUAGGUUAACGAGGCGAACCGGGGGAACUGAAACAUCUAAGUACCCCGAGGAAAAGAAAUCAACCGAGAUUCCCCCAGUAGCGGCGAGCGAACGGGGAGCAGCCCAGAGUCUGAAUCAGCUUGUGUGUUAGUGGAACGGUCUGGAAAGUCCGACGGUACAGGGUGAUAGUCCCGUACACCAAAAUGCACAGGUUGUGAACUCGAAGAGUAGGGCGGGACACGUGGUAUCCUGUCUGAAUAUGGGGGGACCAUCCUCCAAGGCUAAAUACUCCUGACUGACCGAUAGUGAACCAGUACCGUGAGGGAAAGGCGAAAAGAACCCCGGCGAGGGGAGUGAAAAAGAACCUGAAACCGUGUACGUACAAGCAGUGGGAGCACCUUCGGGUGUGACUGCGUACCUUUUGUAUAAUGGGUCAGCGACUUAUAUUCUGUAGCAAGGUUAACCGUAUAGGGGAGCCGCAGGGAAACCGAGUCUUAACUGGGCGUUAAGUUGCAGGGUAUAGACCCGAAACCCGGUGAUCUAGCCAUGGGCAGGUUGAAGGUUGGGUAACACUAACUGGAGGACCGAACCGACUAAUGUUGAAAAAUUAGCGGAUGACUUGUGGCUGGGGGUGAAAGGCCAAUCAAACCGGGAGAUAGCUGGUUCUCCCCGAAAGCUAUUUAGGUAGCGCCUCGUGAAUUCAUCUUCGGGGGUAGAGCACUGUUUCGGCUAGGGGGUCAUCCCGACUUACCAACCCGAUGCAAACUACGAAUACCGAAGAAUGUUAUCACGGGAGACACACGGCGGGUGCUAACGUCCGUCGUGAAGAGGGAAACAACCCAGACCGCCAGCUAAGGUCCCAAAGUCAUGGUUAAGUGGGAAACGAUGUGGGAAGGCACAGACAGCCAGGAUGUUGGCUUAGAAGCAGCCAUCAUUUAAAGAAAGCGUAAUAGCUCACUGGUCGAGUCGGCCUGCGCGGAAGAUGUAACGGGGCUAAACCAUGCACCGAAGCUGCGGCAGCGACACUAUGUGUUGUUGGGUAGGGGAGCGUUCUGUAAGCCUGUGAAGGUGACCUGUGAGGGUUGCUGGAGGUAUCAGAAGUGCGAAUGCUGACAUAAGUAACGAUAAAGCGGGUGAAAAGCCCGCUCGCCGGAAGACCAAGGGUUCCUGUCCAACGUUAAUCGGGGCAGGGUGAGUCGACCCCUAAGGCGAGGCCGAAAGGCGUAGUCGAUGGGAAACAGGUUAAUAUUCCUGUACUUGGUGUUACUGCGAAGGGGGGACGGAGAAGGCUAUGUUAGCCGGGCGACGGUUGUCCCGGUUUAAGCAUGUAGGCUGAUUGUCCAGGCAAAUCCGGAUAAUCAAGGCUGAGGUGUGAUGACGAGGCACUACGGUGCUGAAGUAACAAAUGCCCUGCUUCCAGGAAAAGCCUCUAAGCAUCAGGUAACAUUAAAUCGUACCCCAAACCGACACAGGUGGUCAGGUAGAGAAUACCAAGGCGCUUGAGAGAACUCGGGUGAAGGAACUAGGCAAAAUGGUGCCGUAACUUCGGGAGAAGGCACGCUGGUGUGUAGGUGAAGCCCCUGCGGGUGGAGCUGAGACCAGUCGAAGAUACCAGCUGGCUGCAACUGUUUAUUAAAAACACAGCACUGUGCAAACACGAAAGUGGACGUAUACGGUGUGACGCCUGCCCGGUGCCGGAAGGUUAAUUGAUGGGGUUAUCCGUAAGGAGAAGCUCUUGAUCGAAGCCCCGGUAAACGGCGGCCGUAACUAUAACGGUCCUAAGGUAGCGAAAUUCCUUGUCGGGUAAGUUCCGACCUGCACGAAUGGCGUAAUGAUGGCCAGGCUGUCUCCACCCGAGACUCAGUGAAAUUGAACUCGCUGUGAAGAUGCAGUGUACCCGCGGCAAGACGGAAAGACCCCGUGAACCUUUACUAUAGCUUGACACUGAACAUUGAGCCUUGAUGUGUAGGAUAGGUGGGAGGCUUUGAAGCGUGGACGCCAGUCUGCGUGGAGCCAACCUUGAAAUACCACCCUUUAAUGUUUGAUGUUCUAACGUUGGCCCCUUACCGGGGUUGCGGACAGUGUCUGGUGGGUAGUUUGACUGGGGCGGUCUCCUCCCAAAGCGUAACGGAGGAGCACGAAGGUUAGCUAAUCCUGGUCGGACAUCAGGAGGUUAGUGCAAUGGCAUAAGCUAGCUUGACUGCGAGCGUGACGGCGCGAGCAGGUGCGAAAGCAGGUCAUAGUGAUCCGGUGGUUCUGAAUGGAAGGGCCAUCGCUCAACGGAUAAAAGGUACUCCGGGGAUAACAGGCUGAUACCGCCCAAGAGUUCAUAUCGACGGCGGUGUUUGGCACCUCGAUGUCGGCUCAUCACAUCCUGGGGCUGAAGUAGGUCCCAAGGGUAUGGCUGUUCGCCAUUUAAAGUGGUACGCGAGCUGGGUUUAGAACGUCGUGAGACAGUUCGGUCCCUAUCUGCCGUGGGCGCUGGAGAAUUGAGGGGGGCUGCUCCUAGUACGAGAGGACCGGAGUGGACGCAUCACUGGUGUUCGGGUUGUCAUGCCAAUGGCACUGCCCGGUAGCUAAAUGCGGAAGAGAUAAGUGCUGAAAGCAUCUAAGCACGAAACUUGCCCCGAGAUGAGUUCUCCCUGAGACUUUAAGUCUCCUGAAGGAACGUUAAAGACGAUGACGUUGAUAGGCCGGGUGUGUAAGCGCAGCGAUGCGUUGAGCUAACCGGUACUAAUGAACCGUGAGGCUUAACCUUACAACGCCGAAG